AUGAAUUAUGAGUUUAAUAGAUCCUCUUUAGCAGAAAGACGUAUAUUCCUUGCUCAUUAUCAGACAAUCACUUAUUCCCAAACCUCGUGUGGGACUAAUCAUUUUCAUUUACCAUCUCAUGGAAAACCCUUUUCGUUCCGCUUAGCCCUAUCGGGUAUUUUAGUGAUAGGUUCUGUAGGAACUGGACGAUCCUAUUUGGUCAAAUACCUAACGAAAAAUUACGAUUUUCCUUUCAUUAAGGUACGAGGGCUUCUUAUUCCACAAGAACGAAAGCACCUUUUCAUUCUUUCAUAUACUAGGGGUUUUUACUUGGAAAAGACAAUGUUCCAUACUAAAGGAUUCGGGUCCAUAACCACGAGUUCCAGUGCACUAGAUCUUGUAGCACUUAGCAACGAAGCCCUAUCCAUUAGUAUUCCACAUAAGAAAUCCAUUCUA
This 435-nucleotide ribosomal RNA is filed under the name Triticum aestivum (bread wheat). RNAcentral's name for it is "partial small subunit ribosomal RNA". The record is from RNAcentral. Lineage: Eukaryota; Viridiplantae; Streptophyta; Magnoliopsida; Poales; Poaceae.